GAUGAACGCUGGCGGCGUGCUUAACACAUGCAAGUCGAACGUGAAGAAGCAGCAAUGUUUCUGAAAGUGGCGGACGGGUGAGUAACACGUGGGUGACCUGCCUUGCAGAGGGGGAUAACGAGGGGAAACCUUCGCUAAUACCGCAUAGGCUUACACCGAUGGGAAUGGUGUGGGUAAAACUGAGGUGCUGCAAGAGGGGCCUGCGUCCGAUUAGCUAGUUGGUGAGGUAAUGGCUCACCAAGGCGAUGAUCGGUAGCUGGUCUGAGAGGACGAUCAGCCACACGGGAACUGAGAAACGGUCCCGACUCCUACGGGGGGCAGCAGUGAGGAAUAUUGGGCAAUGGACGAAAGUCUGACCCAGCAACGCCGCGUGGAGGAUGAAGGUUUUUGGAUUGUAAACUCCUUUUGUGGGGAAGAGUGAGGACGGUACCCCAAGAAUAAGUCACGGCUAACUACGUG
Molecule: ribosomal RNA, 459 nt
Filed under: uncultured bacterium
Lineage: Bacteria
Description: bacterial SSU rRNA
Rfam family: Bacterial small subunit ribosomal RNA
Source: RNAcentral